CCUACGAGAGGCAGCAGUGGGGAAUAUUGGACAAUGGGCGCAAGCCUGAUCCAGCCAUACCGCGUGUGUGAAGAAGGCCUUUUGGUUGUAAAGCACUUUAAGCGAGGAGGAGGCUCUUGAGGAUAAUACCCUUGAUGAGUGGACGUUACUCGCAGAAUAAGCACCGGCUAACUCUGUGCCAGCAGCCGCGGUAAUACAGAGGGUGCGAGCGUUAAUCGGAAUUACUGGGCGUAAAGCGCGCGUAGGCGGCUUGUUAAGUCGGAUGUGAAAUCCCCGGGCUCAACCUGGGCACUGCAUUCGAUACUGGCAAGCUAGAGUAUGGGAGAGGAAGGUAGAAUUCCAGGUGUAGCGGUGAAAUGCGUAGAGAUCUGGAGGAAUACCGAUGGCGAAGGCAGCCUUCUGGCCUAAUACUGACGCUGAGGUGCGAAAGCAUGGGGAGCAAACAGGAUUAGAUACCCUGGUAGUCCAUGCCGUAAACGNUGUACAACUAGCCGGUUGGGACCUUGAGUUCUUUAGUGGCGACAGCUAACGCGAAUUAAGUUCGACCCGCGUAGGGGACGUACGGUCGACGAAGUAACCUAAAACGUACGAAAAGGUAGUUAGGACCGGCGUUAGGGACGGACGUUCGGACCCGAAGGGGCCACGACGGAGGGGGAUUAGGGG
This 663-nucleotide ribosomal RNA is filed under the name uncultured bacterium. Its description in RNAcentral is "bacterial SSU rRNA". The stretch from base 1 to 546 matches the Rfam family "Bacterial small subunit ribosomal RNA", at positions 338 to 873 of the family's 1533-position model. The record is from RNAcentral.